GGGGAUUACGGCCUCGGCCUCGCCCAGGAGGAGGUCGUUCCGGUCGAAAUUCUCGGUAAGUCUGGGCAAAGAAAAUUUCCAUCAGGACAUUUUCUCGAUAUGAAUGAUAUAUCCUACCUGAAGAAGGAACCUGGAUUUGAAUUUCAGGGUGGGAGCAUCAAAUUCUGCAGUCCGUUGGGAGAAAACUGAUGAACAAUUCUUCCUGGUACCUUGUUCUUCAUGACAAGGAGCUCCAUGUAUGCCACCGACCAAAAGAAACCCGAGUAUGGAAGACACAAAAAACAUUCUAGCGAGUGCCAUCUCUUGCUAACAAAUUUGAGACACUUUUCAUGGCAGACCUUUCAACUUAUAGCUUUCACAAAGUCCAAGUCAAGGAUCUCGUCUCGUUUGUCAAGUUAGUAUAUAAAGCCCAAAAACUCGUAUU
Molecule: long non-coding RNA, 424 nt
Filed under: Selaginella moellendorffii
Lineage: Eukaryota; Viridiplantae; Streptophyta; Lycopodiopsida; Selaginellales; Selaginellaceae
Description: long non-coding RNA (SMOE_LNC001643)
Source: RNAcentral